GAGGGUGUAACUCAGUGGCAGAGCACUUGCUUUGUGUGUAGAAGGUUCUGGGUUCAAUCCCCAGCAUCUCCG
This is a non-coding RNA of Albula glossodonta (roundjaw bonefish), 72 nucleotides long. The record is from the annotation of a GenBank genome assembly. NCBI's taxonomy places the organism in Eukaryota, Metazoa, Chordata, Actinopteri, Albuliformes, Albulidae.